This 363-nucleotide unclassified non-coding RNA is filed under the name soil metagenome. RNAcentral's name for it is "partial contains 5.8S ribosomal RNA, internal transcribed spacer 2, and large subunit ribosomal RNA". The stretch from base 1 to 120 matches the Rfam family "5.8S ribosomal RNA", at positions 35 to 154 of the family's 154-position model. The record is from RNAcentral.
GAUGAAGAACGUAGCGAAAUGCGAUAAGUAAUGUGAAUUGCAGAAUUCAGUGAAUCAUCGAAUCUUUGAACGCAUCUUGCGCUCCUUGGUAUUCCGAGGAGCAUGCCUGUUUGAGUGUCAUUAAAGUUCUCAACCACAUUACUACAUAUGUGGCUUGGAUGUGGGGGUUUGCAGGCUUUCUCUGAGGGUCUGCUCCUCUGAAAUGUAUUAGUGGUAUCUGAGCUACUACAGGUGUGAUAAUUAUCUAUGCCUUGGUAUGCUGCAUAAAACAGAUUGCGCCGCUUCUAAUGACAAUUUUGAUAAAUUUGACCUCAAAUCAGGUAGGACUACCCGCUGAACUUAAGCAUAUCAAUAAGCGGAGGA